Molecule: long non-coding RNA, 767 nt
Filed under: Mus musculus (house mouse)
Lineage: Eukaryota; Metazoa; Chordata; Mammalia; Rodentia; Muridae
Description: RIKEN cDNA A230103O09 gene
Source: RNAcentral
UUUCAUAACCAUUCAGAGUAUCACCAAAACAGAGACUGUCUUCUGCCCCUGAAUGAGCAUGAGAAAAGCCUUUCCUAGACAACCAUUGCACCUGUCUCCUAACAUCCAUUAAAAGGUCACACUCAAUGGUUAUAUCAGGCUGCAAUAUAAGGCUGAGUACUUAUCUAUGCCAAGCUGAGGCCAGCUAUAACCAACCUGACUCAGCAGCAGGAGAGUGACUGUAUGCUCUUCUAGGACUUGGAGAACAUUAUUACACUUCCUAUCCAUGGAAAUAUCUAACAGAUGCCAUGUCUUCUCUGAGAAGGCUUUCUACAGAUCAAUCCUCCACUGAGUUUUCUUAGGAUUUUAUGCAUUGUACACUCAAGUUUCCACUAUGAUAGCUGGCUGAUGUCUCUCAGAAUUGUCUCCAUGAUCAGCUGUUUAGGGUGAGGCCAAUCACAGCACUGCAUGCCAUUGUAAAUCAUUUGACAGAACCUGGAGUCAUCUUUGGUUGUCAUGAUGGGAGGAUGCAGGAGGAUGGAAGGAGUUAUGUGAUCUGUACCUGGCGUGAAGAUAACAAGGAUAUUGAUACACAGCACAGCACAGCCCACUCACUGAACAUAUCCCUACCCUCCCCAAGCCAGCAGUAACAAGGUUGAAAAACCCUGAGGUACAACGUAAAUAUAUGCAAUUUCUGGGGAGACUGGCAGUCCUUUCAUAUCUACUUGGUCUGUUAGAUGGGAAUCCAAUUUGAAGAUAUUUGAUAAGGACUAUGAUCUGUCACCUGG